GAUGAAGAACGUAGCGAAAUGCGAUAAGCAAUGUGAAUUGCAGAAUUCAGUGAAUCAUCGAAUCUUUGAACGCACAUUGCGCCCCCCAGUAUUCUGGCGGGCAUGCCUGUUCGAGCGUCAUUUCAACCAUCAAGCCCUGCUUGUGUUGGGGUCCUGCGGCUGCCCGCAGGCCCUGAAAACCAGUGGCGGGCUCGCUAGUCACACCGAGCGCAGUAGCACAUCUCGCUCAGGGCGUGCGGCGGGCUCCAGCCGUUAAAGCACCCACCUUUCGCAAGGUUGACCUCGGAUCAGGUAGGAAUACCCGCUGAACUUAAGCAUAUCAAUAAGCGGAGGA
Molecule: unclassified non-coding RNA, 334 nt
Filed under: soil metagenome
Description: partial contains 5.8S ribosomal RNA, internal transcribed spacer 2, and large subunit ribosomal RNA
Rfam family: 5.8S ribosomal RNA (bases 1-120)
Source: RNAcentral